This 497-nucleotide ribosomal RNA is filed under the name uncultured bacterium. RNAcentral's name for it is "partial 16S ribosomal RNA". It matches the Rfam family "Bacterial small subunit ribosomal RNA", at positions 28 to 507 of the family's 1533-position model. The record is from RNAcentral.
GAUGAACGCUGGCGGCGUGCCUAAUACAUGCAAGUCGAGCGAACAGACGAGGAGCUUGCUCCUCUGACGUUAGCGGCGGACGGGUGAGUAACACGUGGAUAACCUACCUAUAAGACUGGGAUAACUUCGGGAAACCGGAGCUAAUACCGGAUAACAUGUUGAACCGCAUGGUUUAACAGUGAAAGACGGUCUUGCUGUCACUUAUAGAUGGAUCCGCGCCGCAUUAGCUAGUUGGUAAGGUAACGGCUCACCAAGGCAACGAUGCGUAGCCGACCUGAGAGGGUGAUCGGCCACACUGGAACUGAGACACGGUCCAGACUCCUACGGGAGGCAGCAGUAGGGAAUCUUUCGCAAUGGGCGAAAGCCUGACGGAGCAACGCCGCGUGAGUGAAGAAGGUCUUCGGAUCGUAAAACUCUGUUAUUAGGGAAGAACAAAUGUGUAAGUAACUAUGCACGUCUUGACGGUACCUAAUCAGAAAGCCACGGCUAACUACGUG